GAUGAACGCUGGCGGCGUGCCUAAUACAUGCAAGUCGAGCGAACAGACGAGGCGCUUGCUCCUCUGACGUUAGCGGCGGACGGGUGAGUAACACGUGGAUAACCUACCUAUAAGACUGGGAUAACUUCGGGAAACCGGAGCUAAUACCGGAUAAUAUAUUGAACCGCAAGGUUCAAUAGUGAAAGACGGUUUUGCUGUCACUUAUAGAUGGAUCCGCGCCGCAUUAGCUAGUUGGUAAGGUAACGGCUUACCAAGGCGACGAUGCGUAGCCGACCUGAGAGGGUGAUCGGCCACACUGGAACUGAGACACGGUCCAGACUCCUACGGGAGGCAGCAGUAGGGAAUCUUCCGCAAUGGGCGAAAGCCUGACGGAGCAACGCCGCGUGAGUGAUGAAGGUCUUCGGAUCGUAAAACUCUGUUAUUAGGGAAGAACAAAUGUGUAAGUAACUAUGCACGUCUUGACGGUACCUAAUCAGAAAGCCCCGGCUAACUCCGUG
Molecule: ribosomal RNA, 497 nt
Filed under: uncultured bacterium
Lineage: Bacteria
Description: partial 16S ribosomal RNA
Rfam family: Bacterial small subunit ribosomal RNA
Source: RNAcentral